RNAcentral lists this ribosomal RNA (506 nucleotides) under uncultured bacterium. Its description in RNAcentral is "bacterial SSU rRNA". It matches the Rfam family "Bacterial small subunit ribosomal RNA", at positions 19 to 518 of the family's 1533-position model. The record is from RNAcentral.
AUGGCUCAGGAUGAACGCUAGCGGCAGGCUUAACACAUGCAAGUCGAGGGGCAGCGGGAUGUAGCAAUACAUUGCCGGCGACCGGCGGAUGGGUGCGUAACGCGUAUGCAACCUACCUUAUACAGGGGAAUAACCUUUCGAAAGGGAGACUAACACCCCAUAGUAUUGAUUUAAGGCAUCUUAGAUUAAUUAAAUAUUUAUAGGUAUAAGAUGGGCAUGCGUAUGAUUAGCUAGUUGGUAAGGUAACGGCUUACCAAGGCGACGAUCAUUAGGGGUUCUGAGAGGAAGGCCCCCCACACUGGUACUGAGACACGGACCAGACUCCUACGGGAGGCAGCAGUGAGGAAUAUUGGUCAAUGGGCGCAAGCCUGAACCAGCCAUGCCGCGUGCAGGAAGACGGCCUUAUGGGUUGUAAACUGCUUUUACAUAAGACUAACCGUAUAUUUGCGAAUAUACCUGAAUGUAUUAUGAGAAUAAGGAUCGGCUAACUCCGUGCCAGCAGCCGC